This 2262-nucleotide unclassified non-coding RNA is filed under the name Hevea brasiliensis (rubber tree). The record is from RNAcentral. Lineage: Eukaryota; Viridiplantae; Streptophyta; Magnoliopsida; Malpighiales; Euphorbiaceae.
GAUUAAAAAACUAAAAUAUUCAAUUUUUAAAAAGUUAAUUAAUUAAUAAUAAACCAACUCUAGCUAUUUCAACUUCUAGUACAAAACCCUGCUAGAGUAUUCGCACCGCCAAGUCCACACCAUGAAAUGCUCAAAACAGAGACCUGAAGUGGAUGUUUUGGUCGUUUGCUGCACAAGCCUCUGAAAGGAAGAUGUUUCCAAGCGCUUCUGAUUAUGCCUCCAAACCACCUCUAAGCCAGAAAACAGAUGGAAGAUUGCAGUGCAAGAAAGAUUGCAAAAAAAGCCGAGAUUGGGAGCAACAUAGAGAAAAAAUCACCUAAAACAAGCAUAAUUUGAUAUUUUAUUUCCAUUACUGGGUAACAGAAACUGUAACACAGGGAUAUUACUACACAAAAUGGCUUGAGCAGAUGAUUAGUACUUGUGUGGUUGCUAUAAAGGAAAACAACAAAAAUGCCAAGAAAAUAUUUAGAAAGUUGGACCAAAUUGUAUGUAAAAUUGCCUUUAAGAAACUCUCCUAAUCUCCCACAGUCUAAGCCCCAAAACAGCACAGACCUUGUUUUUUUUCCCUUCCCACCCUCAAAUCUUUGAGGACGAGGACCCAUCAAUUCCCUCUGCUACAUCAAGGCGAGUCUGUAACACCUGCAUUGUUAGAAUUCAUGUCCCUAGUGCCAUCUGCUUGUUCCGACUCUGAAAGGCAAUCAAGUAUAUCUACUUGCAACAACUCUUCAUAGAUUUAGAGGAAUCUGCCAAUGAACUCAUGAUUGGGAUCAAUCAAAUGAUCAAAGAUUCUUUAUCAGAAGCACUUCAACAACUAAUCUGGAUUGCUUCAAGCAGAACUCCGAGAAACUCCCAUCAAGUAUGGAAAAAAAAUAUAUCACCAUUGCACAACAUGAAUAUCCCUCUAGAGUUUAAACGCCAGCAAUUUUCACACAAACCACAUUUGUAUUUUUAAUCAGUAGUGCUCUCAACAGUAAUUUUAUUUCCCUGAUUCACAUGGAUUUCAUAUCUUAUGCUUAGAAACACCAUACUUAUGUAGUCUUUCCUGUUUUUGUGUAGGUAAGAAGGAAAAAUUAAUAAGAACUUAUCAAUAAUACCAAUUUUAGUUAGGGUAGGGGAAUGCCUAUAAAUAGGCAUAUGCAAAUGCCAAUCCAGAAAAUUUACUAGCCACAUCAUCCUUAGGCCAAAAUAAACAAAAAUGAUAAUCAUGCACAUAUAGUUCUGCUCAGAAGAUGCAUAAAAAUCAUUAAGUUUCAUAUGUCCAGACAUAUUUCAGCAACUUCAUCAUUGCAGGCGCAUGGGGAAAACCAAAGGCAUGUCCAUGAAAUCAAUUAAGUAAUGGAUGUAAAAUAAUGGUAUUAAGAAAAAGAAAGCAAAUUGCAAAUGAAAUCUCAGAGAUAUUCCAUGAGUGGAUAAUGCAGACAAUCAACACGGCAUCAGUUUCUGACCGCCCGUCUGCUUUUUCUCAUCAUUGUGAACAUAUCAAGUUAAAAUUUCUCUAAACAACAAAAGAAAAGCAUAAAAAUUUUAUUGGAGAUAGAGAAGGCAUCAGAUAAUAAGCGGAGAUUUAAGAUCCACAGUUAAUUCAGUGUGUAGGAUAAUAACUUAUUCAUCAUCUACCUUCAACUUUAGGAUCAUCCAACCAUUUUCUCACAAAUCCAUUAUUAAAGAACAAAAAAGCAAGAAAUUCUAAAGGGUAUCAAAAAUCCCAACUUUCUUCUGUGUUCUUUCAAUAAACAAAAACAAGAAGGAUAACUAACAAACAAACAAACAAUCAAAACAAAAACGCAAGAGUAAAGGGCAUCAGAUAAUAAGCGGAGUUUUUGAUCAACACAGCAAUUCAGUGUGUAGGAUAAGAACUUAUUCAUCACUUGCCAGUUCAAAAUCUAUGUAUACGUGUAUGUUUGGAGGAAAAAAAAAAGAUAAAAUGAAGAGAAUUUCGGUAAGUCCAUUUGACACCAAGGCCAUAUCAAAGAUGCAGCAAUGGGCUGGUAAGCUCACCUUUUCGCUCUCUGCAUCGGUUAUACCUCCUCUAGCAUUGAAAUUUGCCAAAUCAGGAGUGGGUAAACAGAUGCAAGUUUCAAUUCACUGAUUUCUCCCUCAAAAAGACAUAGUAAAUUUCAAGCGAUGAAUCCCAGAUUCUAAGAAACGAAUAGAACAUUUGGAAAACUAUUGCAAUUACCAUGGAAAUAAGAAAUCAACACAUGGAUCUCUAUUCAAAUUGAAAUCGAUUGCCAAUGGUCGCUACAGAAUCUAUGAAGUAAC